GUCGGACUGCCCAGCCAAAGGACACGUGUACUUGAUGUUGCUAUCCUGUUCACUCUUGCUUUAACACAAGUGUUUGUAAGUCUGGGGUUUCUCUCCUCCUCGGUCAGCCAGGGAUUGUAUCUUUGCUAAGAACCACCGAUCAGCAUGACUGUCAUCCUUGGGAGGUUGUGGGGAAGGAGGAAAGGGUUUUCCGCGAGAGUCCAGAGAACUAAGGCCAACGGAAGGAAGUCGGAGGGAGGCGUAUUUCGUCUCAGACACAACUUGCCAACAGUGGAAAAAGCUGCUUUUAAGGGACUUUCAACUAACCAACUAAAGAACUGUACCCAGAGCAUUGUUCCCGAGGAAGAAAAGAGCUAAACACCCACCCACAACUGCUUUGUGCCAAGAAUCUACAGUUGGGUUGCAAGUCAGCACAUGUUGUCCUUUUGGAAAAAUGAGAGUGAGACCAAGUAAAGAGGCAGCAGAGGGGUCUCAAGACAUCCCAAGGCAAGUGGCCAAACCGUGGGGGUCUCCCUCCUCCCUGGGCUAGACUCCCCUGCCCCGGGGCCUUUUGUA
Molecule: long non-coding RNA, 555 nt
Filed under: Mustela putorius furo (domestic ferret)
Lineage: Eukaryota; Metazoa; Chordata; Mammalia; Carnivora; Mustelidae
Description: lncRNA (ENSMPUG00000031497.1)
Source: RNAcentral